GAUGAACGCUAGCGGCAGGCUUAACACAUGCAAGUCGAACGGCAGCACAGGUAGCAAUACUGGGUGGCGAGUGGCGCACGGGUGCGUAACGCGUAUGCAACCUACCUCUAUCUGGGAGAUAGCCCGAAGAAAUUCGGAUUAAUACCCCAUAAUAUAUGUCUUUCGCAUGUUAGACAUAUUAAAGCUUUGGCGGAUAGAGAUGGGCAUGCGUGACAUCAGCUAGUUGGUAAGGUAACGGCUUACCAAGGCUACGAUGUCUAGGGGGUCUGAGAGGAUUAUCCCCCACACUGGUACUGAGACACGGACCAGACUCCUACGGGAGGCAGCAGUGGGGAAUAUUGCGCAAUGGGCGAAAGCCUGACGCAGCCACGCCGCGUGAGCGAUGAAGGCCUUGGUCGUAAGCUCUGUGGGGAGGAGAAGAAUAAAGACC
This 430-nucleotide ribosomal RNA is filed under the name uncultured bacterium. Its description in RNAcentral is "bacterial SSU rRNA". It matches the Rfam family "Bacterial small subunit ribosomal RNA", at positions 28 to 457 of the family's 1533-position model. The record is from RNAcentral.